UUUAAUAUGGCAGAUUAGUGCAAUGAAUUUAAGUUUCAUAAAUAAAAUGAUUAUUUUUAUUAAAA
This 65-nucleotide transfer RNA is filed under the name Leptopilina syphax. RNAcentral's name for it is "tRNA-Leu". The record is from RNAcentral. Lineage: Eukaryota; Metazoa; Arthropoda; Insecta; Hymenoptera; Figitidae.